UUUGAUCCUGGCUCAGAUUGAACGCUGGCGGCAUGCCUUACACAUGCAGGUCGAACGGCAGCACGGGAGCAAUCCUGGUGGCGAGUGGCGAACGGGUGAGUAAUACAUCGGAACGUGCCCAAUCGUGGGGGAUAACGCAGCGAAAGCUGUGCUAAUACCGCAUAAGAUCUACGGAUGAAAGCAGGGGAUCGCAAGACCUUGCGCGAAUGGAGCGGCCGAUGGCAGAUUAGGUAGUUGGUGAGGUAAAGGCUCACCAAGCCUUCGAUCUGUAGCUGGUCUGAGAGGACGACCAGCCACACUGGGACUGAGACACGGCCCAGACUCCUACGGGAGGCAGCAGUGGGGAAUUUUGGACAAUGGGCGCAAGCCUGAUCCAGCCAUGCCGCGUGCAGGAUGAAGGCCUUCGGGUUGUAAACUGCUUUUGUACGGAACGAAACGGCUCUUUCUAAUAAAGAGGGCUAAUGACGGUACCGUAAGAAUAAGCACCGGCUAACUACGUGCCAGCAGCCGCGGUAAUACGUAGGGUGCAAGCGUUAAUCGGAAUUACUGGGCGUAAAGCGUGCGCAGGCGGUUAUGUAAGACAGUUGUGAAAUCCCCGGGCUCAACCUGGGAACUGCAUCUGUGACUGCAUAGCUAGAGUACGGUAGAGGGGGAUGGAAUUCCGCGUGUAGCAGUGAAAUGCGUAGAUAUGCGGAGGAACACCGAUGGCGAAGGCAAUCCCCUGGACCUGUACUGACGCUCAUGCACGAAAGCGUGGGGAGCAAACAGGAUUAGAUACCCUGGUAGUCCACGCCCUAAACGAUGUCAACUGGUUGUUGGGUCUUCACUGACUCAGUAACGAAGCUAACGCGUGAAGUUGACCGCCUGGGGAGUACGGCCGCAAGGUUGAAACCCAAAGGAAUUGACGGGGACCCGCACAAGCGGUGGAUGAUGUGGUUUAAUUCGAUGCAACGCGAAAAACCUUACCCACCUUUGACAUGUACGGAAUUUGCCAGAGAUGGCUUAGUGCUCGAAAGAGAGCCGUAACACAGGUGCUGCAUGGCUGUCGUCAGCUCGUGUCGUGAGAUGUUGGGUUAAGUCCCGCAACGAGCGCAACCCUUGUCAUUAGUUGCUACAUUCAGUUGGGCACUCUAGUGAGACUGCCGGUGACAAACCGGAGGAAGGUGGGGAUGACGUCAAGUCCUCAUGGCCCUUAUAGGUGGGGCUACACACGUCAUACAAUGGCUGGUACAAAGGGUUGCCAACCCGCGAGGGGGAGCUAAUCCCAUAAAACCAGUCGUAGUCCGGAUCGCAGUCUGCAACUCGACUGCGUGAAGUCGGAAUCGCUAGUAAUCGUGGAUCAGAAUGUCACGGUGAAUACGUUCCCGGGUCUUGUACACACCGCCCGUCACACCAUGGGAGCGGGUUCUGCCAGAAGUAGUUAGCCUAACCGCAAGGAGGGCGAUUACCACGGCAGGGUUCGUGACUGGGGUGAAGUCGUAACAAGGUAA
This 1490-nucleotide ribosomal RNA is filed under the name metagenome. RNAcentral's name for it is "bacterial SSU rRNA". It matches the Rfam family "Bacterial small subunit ribosomal RNA". The record is from RNAcentral.